This 2666-nucleotide long non-coding RNA is filed under the name Bos grunniens (domestic yak). RNAcentral describes it as "lncRNA (ENSBGRG00000009392.1)". The record is from RNAcentral. Lineage: Eukaryota; Metazoa; Chordata; Mammalia; Artiodactyla; Bovidae.
UUGAAUAAAUUGAUAAGAGAUUUGCUGCUUCUCAUCUCCAGUGGAGAUAGACGAUUUGGUGACAUUCUCUGGUGGGCUACAGGAGGUGGGGGGAACAUCGUGAGGAAGAGAUCCCUUAGAUGUCCUUUCCACCUUUUUGUUGAGUUCUGGUAGAGAAAAAACACUGGUUAGGCAAGGUGGCCCAUCACCACCUUGUGGGUUUGUCCUUCUAAGGCUCCCUUGAACUUAACCUCUGCUUGGCGGAGACCCGAGGAUCUCCUGGUCGACGCCCAGAAGAUGCUCUGUGUUGAACCCGACCUUCCCACGGCCCAAACAGGCAAACAAAUGGCGUCCCUUGGAAAGAAUCAGUGUAGCCUGGCUAGAAGCCUGGCUGGAAGCUCGGCAGCGGGCUAGGAGUAGGGAGUACGACGGGGAUAAGUCUAGCGGCUGCACCCAAGAAAAUAGGGGUGUCCACUGCACCUGCAAACCCCACGCGCGCCUCGGCUUGGCCCCCUGCACCCCAGCCGGCUGCCCACCCUGGAGAGGCUGCCUGGGGGGCAGCAGUGUGUGUGUGUGUGUGUGUGUGUGUGUGUGUGUGUGCGUGUGUGUGUGUGUGUGUGUGUGUGUGUGUGGAGGUGGGGGGGGGGUGUCGGCGGCCGCUACAAGGAGGCGGCGAGGAGGCUGGGGAGGGGGGCGCGGCGGGCGGUGGCGCGGUCCAGGGGGAGGCGGGCGGAGGGAAGGCGCUGCCGCCGCCGCCUCACCCGCGGCGACACAGACGCCGGGAGCGGCCGAGGCGAGUGACUUCUUCUGACUUGAGCUUGCAGUGUGCUUUGAGAGAUCCUCUACCAGGUGCUGCUGGGGGCAACGCCCUAGUGCUAAUUGGCCAGAAGCAGGAUUCUAAAGUGGCGCAUGCCAGCACGGUCGAUCAAGAUCCCCCAGAUGGCUGCUGCCGGUGUCUCUGUGUCCAGGGAGAGUCCCAGCUGCCUUCUGCCUCUUUAGGAACAUCUCCAAGAGCAACAGGAGGUUUGUCAAACUACCAGCUUUGUCAAAGAACUUCUACUGAACUGGGACUCAGAGCAUGUGAGAUUUUGUGCAUGACCUUUAAGAGCAGAGUCUGUUCCCUAUAGCCUUCCAGCUCAGUUGAACAACAAGCCCCACUGGUUUCCAAGCCAAGCCUCCUGGGGGCUCAUCUUCACAGUGGUGGACCCUUGGGCUGAGGAGCCUGAUGUGGAAUGGAGACCCCUUCACUCCUCAGGGAGGGCUUCUGUGCCUGUGAUAUCCCUCCUGUUUGUGGGUCGCUGGCCCAGGGGGACCAGACCAGACCAAGUUUCCUCCAUCCUUCCUGCUUGUCUCAUGGAGGCUCCUUCUAUCUUUGGUGGUGGAAAAUGUUUUUCUCUGGGCUUCAGGUCGUUCUCAUAGGUAGUCAUCCAUAAGUAGCUGUAGUUUUGGUGUGCCUGUGGGAGGAGGUGAGCCCAGGGUCUUCUUCCUACUCUACCAUCUCAAUCUGUCUUCCCUACCCAUUUCUGGGUGUAGCUCUUGGGAUAUUGUGAAGGUUAAAAAAAAAAAAAAAUUAAAGGACUGAGCACUACAAGAAUGUAAGGAUUAUCAAGCUGAUAGGAUUUAAAUGUCUCGAAGUUUCUUUGUCUUGGUGUCUUCCCCUAGCAACUCUGUACCUAGUACAAUACCCACCCUUUAGUGUAGAUAGAUGUGUAACUCAGCUGUUACCUCGGUCACCUGGUUCUGUGAAAUGUACAUAAAAUGGCCUUGAACUGCACCCUGGGUGCUCUGAAGUCCUGGUGGCUUAGUCUCAGGGCCCUGCUUUGCUCUGGUUUUUGGUUGCUUCUGAGCUUUGGUCACAUGUGUGGCUCAUCUGUGACUGUUCUUUCUCUGCCCCGAGUGGACCCACAUAUAGUUACCUGCCCCCUCUCUUUGGUUUCCCCUAAGUAAGUCUCAUAGCUGGCAUUGGUGUGCUGCAGACUUCUAACUAUUCAGAAAUACUAGUUGGGGGAGAGCAGCACAUAGAUAAUUUAGGAUUAAAUAUUAGUUUUGUUCUAAAAAGUUCUCCUGGGGUGUAUCACUUCUACUUUCUUAAUUUCAUGUUAUGACAUCCUUCUAAAAAGGACAGUAUGGAAAAUAUGGGGCGAGAAUGACUUUACAGUGGAGAAAUCUGACAAGUGAUCAAGGUCAACUUUAACAGCCAAACCUCCCCAAAUCUCAUAACCCCAUUCUAAUCAUGGGAAAAACAUCAUACAAAUCCUAAUAGAGGGGCAUCCUAUAAAAUGCCUGACCAGUCCUCCUCAUAACUCUCAAGGCCAUCAAAGACAAGGAAAGUCCAGAAUAUCAUCAAAGCCAAGAAGGGUCUAUGGAAACAUAACACCUAAAUGUAACAAGCUACCUGGAACAGAAAAAGGACAUUAGGUGAACUAAGGAAAUCUAAAUAAUCUAUGGACUUUAUUUAAUAAAAAUGUAUUAAUACUGGUUUAUUAAUUGUAACAAAGGUACCCUAUUAAUGUAAUUAAUAUGUUAAUAAUGGGAAACUAUAUGGGAUGUGGUACACGGAACUCUCUUUUCCAUCUGCUCAAUUUUUCCAUAAAUCUAAAAUUACUCUAAAAAAUAAAGUCUGGUAAUCAAAAAACGUUUGCUUGGUUGUUUACCUGGAACAGAAAAUUUCUCUCUGGCAAUUUCCC